This 492-nucleotide ribosomal RNA is filed under the name uncultured bacterium. Its description in RNAcentral is "partial 16S ribosomal RNA". It matches the Rfam family "Bacterial small subunit ribosomal RNA", at positions 29 to 507 of the family's 1533-position model. The record is from RNAcentral.
AGUGAACGCUGGCGGUAGGCCUAACACAUGCCAGUCGAACGGCAGCACAUUAAGAGCUUGCUCUUACGGGUGGCGAGUGGCGGACGGGUGAGGAAUACAUCGGAAUCUACUUUUUCGUGGGGGAUAACGUAGGGAAACUUACGCUAAUACCGCAUACGACCUACGGGUGAAAGCAGGGGAUCUUCGGACCUUGCGCGAUUGAAUGAGCCGAUGUCGGAUUAGCUAGUUGGCGGGGUAAAGGCCCACCAAGGCGACGAUCCGUAGCUGGUCUGAGAGGAUGAUCGGCCACACUGGAACUGAGACACGGUCCAGACUCCUACGGGAGGCAGCAGUGGGGAAUAUUGGACAAUGGGCGCAAGCCUGAUCCAGCCAUACCGCGUGGGUGAAGAAGGCCUUCGGGUUGUAAAGCCCUUUUGUUGGGAAAGAAAAGCAGCAGGUUAAUACCCCGCUGUUCUGACGGUACCCAAAGAAUAAGCACCGGCUAACUUCGUG